This 1100-nucleotide ribosomal RNA is filed under the name uncultured bacterium. Its description in RNAcentral is "bacterial SSU rRNA". It matches the Rfam family "Bacterial small subunit ribosomal RNA", at positions 270 to 1381 of the family's 1533-position model. The record is from RNAcentral.
AAGGCGACGACGGGUAGCCGGCCUGAGAGGGCGACCGGCCACACUGGGACUGAGACACGGCCCAGACUCCUACGGGAGGCAGCAGUGGGGAAUAUUGCGCAAUGGGCGAAAGCCUGACGCAGCGACGCCGCGUGAGGGAUGAAGGCCUUCGGGUUGUAAACCUCUUUCAGCAGGGAAGAAGCGCAAGUGACGGUACCUGCAGAAGAAGCACCGGCUAACUACGUGCCAGCAGCCGCGGUAAUACGUAGGGUGCAAGCGUUGUCCGGAAUUAUUGGGCGUAAAGAGCUCGUAGGCGGUCUGUCGCGUCUGCUGUGAAAACCCAGGGCUUAACCCUGGGCCUGCAGUGGGUACGGGCAGACUAGAGUGCGGUAGGGGAGAUCGGAAUUCCUGGUGUAGCGGUGAAAUGCGCAGAUAUCAGGAGGAACACCGGUGGCGAAGGCGGAUCUCUGGGCCGUAACUGACGCUGAGGAGCGAAAGCAUGGGGAGCGAACAGGAUUAGAUACCCUGGUAGUCCAUGCCGUAAACGUUGGGCGCUAGGUGUGGGGCUCAUUCCACGAGUUCCGUGCCGCAGCAAACGCAUUAAGCGCCCCGCCUGGGGAGUACGGCCGCAAGGCUAAAACUCAAAGGAAUUGACGGGGGCCCGCACAAGCGGCGGAGCAUGCGGAUUAAUUCGAUGCAACGCGAAGAACCUUACCAAGGCUUGACAUACAGAGUAAUCCGGCAGAAACGUCGGGUCCGCAAGGGAUUCUGUACAGGUGGUGCAUGGUUGUCGUCAGCUCGUGUCGUGAGAUGUUGGGUUAAGUCCCGCAACGAGCGCAACCCUCGUUCUAUGUUGCCAGCACGUAAUGGUGGGGACUCAUAGGAGACUGCCGGGGUCAACUCGGAGGAAGGUGGGGAUGACGUCAAAUCAUCAUGCCCCUUAUGUCUUGGGCUUCACGCAUGCUACAAUGGCCAGUACAAAGGGCUGCGAGACCGCAAGGUGGAGCGAAUCCCAAAAAACUGGUCUCAGUUCGGAUUGGGGUCUGCAACUCGACCCCAUGAAGUCGGAGUCGCUAGUAAUCGCAGAUCAGCAACGCUGCGGUGAAUACGUUCCCGGGCCU